Non-coding RNA from Globicephala melas (long-finned pilot whale), 2023 nucleotides. NCBI's taxonomy places the organism in Eukaryota, Metazoa, Chordata, Mammalia, Artiodactyla, Delphinidae. The record is from RefSeq and is a predicted model, not a curated record.
CCCACCGGCCGGGUGUGAGGUCUGAGACGUGUGUGCAGGAGGGAUGACAAGACGCUGGUGCCGUUUUUCAUGACGCUGUUGAGUAGGAUCCUGUACCGUCAGUGGGAUGCAAAGCUGUUUGCAGCACGGACGUGCGUACUGGGUGUUUCGUCAAUCCUUACUUUAGUUCAAGAUUUCAAGCAAGAAGAGACCAUCACACUGGCAGGCUUCUAGGUGCUGGGACACAGCAGUGAUCAAGACAGACAAAAGCAUCAACUCAAAGAGCCUAUAAGGUAAAAGUAACCCUUUAUGCAUCAGAAAGGUAACAAGCAGAAUGGAGAAGAAUCAAAUCUGCAACGAGGAUGGGAGGGAUACUACAGAUGGCCGUGAACGUGGUCAGAAUCAGUCUGCCUGUGAAGGUGACUUUUGGCAAAUUUGAAGGAGGUAAGAGGGGAAGCCAUGGGGAUGUCUAGGGGGAAAAUUCCAGGAGGAGGGGACCACAAGGGUGUAGACCCUGAGGAUGAACAUACAAGGUUAACUGGAAGAGCAGGAAGGACACUGGAAUGGAGUGAGCCAGGGAGAGAGGGUGGGGCGGGGGGAGGAAGAGACCAGCCAGUGCACUGUCUAUAGGUCAGGGAAGAAUGGUGGGGUUUUUUGUUUCUUUUCCGGUAUAGUUUAUUACAGUAUAUCGAGUAGUUUUCUGUGCUGUACAGUAGGACCUCGUCGUGUGUGCAUCCUAUAUAAACUAGUUUGCAUCUGCUAAUCCCACACUCCCAAUUCUUGCCUCCCUCACCCCGCUCCCUCUAGGCUGAUCUCUAUGUCUGUGAGUCUGUUUCUGUUUUGUACAUAAGUUCAUUUGUAUCUUUUUAUUUUUGAUUCCACAUAUAAGCGAUAUCAUAUGGUAUUUGUCUUUCUCUGACUUACUUCACUCAGUAUGAUCAUCUCUGGGUCCACCCAUGUUGCUGCCAAUGGCAUGGUUUCAUUCUUUUUCAUGGCUGAGUAAUAUUCCACUGUGUGUAUAGGUAGAUGGGCACUUAAGUUGCUUCCACGUUUCAGCUGUUGUAAACAGUCUGUAACGGGGUCUCCAGAAGGACUCCCUGGGAACGUGGCAUGGGGUAAAAGUCAAGUCAGCUCUCAGCCAGGCACAGCCACACAGCUGGGGGCACUCGGGCGAGUCCACGAUUUAAAACUAAAGCUGUGGAAGGUAGUUUUCAGGGCGGUGGGAGGGUCCUCUGUGGGUCCGGCUGUGCUACCCUCUCUACUUGGGACUCACAGGGGAUUCCGUUUGGAUGUCUGUCCUCACCUGUGGUUCAGUUGUACAGGUUUUCCUUUAGAAACUGUGCCUGCACAUUCCAGAUGUGGUGACGGGCAUGCUGCUUCUCAGGCACCUGUGGAAUGCGGACACUGGUCUGCCCCCCUGCCCUUCCCACAGGGCUGCCCCACUUGUCACGACCAUCAGCUGUACCCCAGUGGCCGUGCUGAGCGUGGGGAGAGUGCUUACGGCUGGUGGGCAGCACUCUGGUUUACAUCACCCACCACCUACCUCUGCUGGACGCCUGCCCGGAUGGUGGGAACACAUUGCUAGCGGUGCAAUUCCAUACUUUAAUGCUUUCUUUUUUUCAUUUUAUCUAAGGGUCUUUUUAAUAGGCAAUGAGGCCAAAACAGAUGAUGAAAGAUAAGGGGUGUGUUUUUACCCAUUUUUCGUGUACAGCAGUAUCACCAGGAGCAGGGCCACAGGUUGUUACAGAGUGCUGAGUAGAGUUCCCUGUGCUAUAUACAUAGCACACUGGGGAGAAGGAGAACAAUUUAUGCAGGAAAUUGGAGUUCCCUGAAGAUCUGGGUAACCCCAUGGAAGUGUACCCCAUUUGUGCUGGGGUGAGACAAAGUAUGUGGGCCUCACUGCUGCAGCCUGACCCGUUGUGGAGCACAGGCUCUGGACGUGCAGGCUCAGCGGCCAUGGCUCACGGGCCCAGCUGCUCCACGGCAUGUGGGAUCUUCCCGGACCGGGGCACGAACCCACGUCUCCUGCAUCGGCAGGCGGACU